UACGUAGGGGGCAAGCGUUAUCCGGAUUUACUGGGUGUAAAGGGAGCGUAGGUGGUUCGGCAAGUCAGAUGUGAAAGCCCGGGGCUCAACCCCGGGACUGCAUUUGAAACUGCCGUACUAGAGUGCAGGAGAGGUAAGUGGAAUUCCUAGUGUAGCGGUGAAAUGCGUAGAUAUUAGGAGGAACACCAGUGGCGAAGGCGGCUUACUGGACUGUAACUGACACUGAGGCUCGAAAGCGUGGGGAGCAAACAGG
This 253-nucleotide ribosomal RNA is filed under the name uncultured Clostridium sp. RNAcentral describes it as "partial 16S ribosomal RNA". It matches the Rfam family "Bacterial small subunit ribosomal RNA", at positions 524 to 776 of the family's 1533-position model. The record is from RNAcentral. RNAcentral also lists the same sequence under 1 other name. Lineage: Bacteria; Bacillati; Bacillota; Clostridia; Eubacteriales; Clostridiaceae.